CGCCUCUUGACCCCCAAUAAGAGGUCCAGCCUGCCCAGUGACAUUGUUCAACGGCCGCGGUAUCCUAACCGUGCGAAGGUAGCGUAAUCACUUGUUCUUUAAUUGAGGACUAGUAUGAAUGGCUUCACGAGGACUAUACUGUCUCCUUUUUCUAAUCAAUGAAACUAAUCUCCCCGUGAAGAAGCGGGGAUAACUUUAUAAGACGAGAAGACCCUAUGGAGCUUUAAACAAUUGAAAUAUUUGCUUUUACUAACUACCUUCCGUGGCCUAAAUAUAYUUAAGCAUUAUUAAUUUCUAGUUUUAGGUUGGGGUGACCACGGAGUAAAAUUUAACCUCCACGCUGAAAGUAAAGCCUUCUUAGCAAAAAGCCACAUCUUUAUGCAUCACUAAACUGACUUACAUUGACCCAAUUAUUUGAUCAACGAACCAAGUUACCCUAGGGAUAACAGCGCAAUCUACCUCAAGAGCCCGUAUCGACAGGUAGGUUUACGACCUCGAUGUUGGAUCAGGGUGUCCUGGUGGUGCAGCCGCUACUAAAGGUUCGUUUGUUCAACGAUUAAAACCCU
This 566-nucleotide ribosomal RNA is filed under the name Phyllobates vittatus. Its description in RNAcentral is "partial 16S ribosomal RNA". It matches the Rfam family "Bacterial large subunit ribosomal RNA", at positions 1829 to 2597 of the family's 2925-position model. Lineage: Eukaryota; Metazoa; Chordata; Amphibia; Anura; Dendrobatidae. The record is from RNAcentral.